This 512-nucleotide ribosomal RNA is filed under the name uncultured bacterium. Its description in RNAcentral is "partial 16S ribosomal RNA". It matches the Rfam family "Bacterial small subunit ribosomal RNA", at positions 28 to 507 of the family's 1533-position model. The record is from RNAcentral.
GAUGAACGCUGGCGGCGUGCCUAAUACAUGCAAGUCGAACGAAACUUCUUUAUCACCGAGUGCUUGCACUCACCGAUAAAGAGUUGAGUGGCGAACGGGUGAGUAACACGUGGGCAACCUGCCCAAAAGAGGGGGAUAACACUUGGAAACAGGUGCUAAUACCGCAUAACCAUAGUUACCGCAUGGUAACUAUGUAAAAGGUGGCUAUACUACCGCUUUUGGAUGGGCCCGCGGCGCAUUAGCUAGUUGGUAGGGUAAAGGCUUACCAAGGCAAUGAUGCGUAGCCGAAUUGAGAGGUUGAUCGGCCACAUUGGGACUGAGACACGGCCCAUACUCCUACGGGAGGCAGCAGUAGGGAAUCUUCCGCAAUGGGCGAAAGCCUGAUGGAGCAACGCCGCGUGGGUGAAGAAGGUCUUCGGAUCGUAAAACCCUGUUGUUAGAGAAGAAAGUGCGUGAGAGUAACUGUUCACGCUUCGACGGUAUCUAACCAGAAAGCCACGGCUAACUACGUG